UUGAAGAGUUUGAUCAUGGCUCAGAUUGAACGCUGGCGGCAGGCCUAACACAUGCAAGUCGAGCGGUAGCACAGAGAGCUUGCUCUCGGGUGACGAGCGGCGGACGGGUGAGUAAUGUCUGGGAAACUGCCUGAUGGAGGGGGAUAACUACUGGAAACGGUAGCUAAUACCGCAUAACGUCGCAAGACCAAAGUGGGGGACCUUCGGGCCUCAUGCCAUCAGAUGUGCCCAGAUGGGAUUAGCUAGUAGGUGGGGUAACGGCUCACCUAGGCGACGAUCCCUAGCUGGUCUGAGAGGAUGACCAGCCACACUGGAACUGAGACACGGUCCAGACUCCUACGGGAGGCAGCAGUGGGGAAUAUUGCACAAUGGGCGCAAGCCUGAUGCAGCCAUGCCGCGUGUGUGAAGAAGGCCUUCGGGUUGUAAAGCACUUUCAGCGGGGAGGAAGGCGUUAAGGUUAAUAACCUUGGCGAUUGACGUUACCCGCAGAAGAAGCACCGGCUAACUCCGUGCCAGCAGCCGCGGUAAUACGGAGGGUGCAAGCGUUAAUCGGAAUUACUGGGCGUAAAGCGCACGCAGGCGGUCUGUCAAGUCGGAUGUGAAAUCCCCGGGCUCAACCUGGGAACUGCAUUCGAAACUGGCAGGCUAGAGUCUUGUAGAGGGGGGUAGAAUUCCAGGUGUAGCGGUGAAAUGCGUAGAGAUCUGGAGGAAUACCGGUGGCGAAGGCGGCCCCCUGGACAAAGACUGACGCUCAGGUGCGAAAGCGUGGGGAGCAAACAGGAUUAGAUACCCUGGUAGUCCACGCCGUAAACGAUGUCGAUUUGGAGGUUGUGCCCUUGAGGCGUGGCUUCCGGAGCUAACGCGUUAAAUCGACCGCCUGGGGAGUACGGCCGCAAGGUUAAAACUCAAAUGAAUUGACGGGGGCCCGCACAAGCGGUGGAGCAUGUGGUUUAAUUCGAUGCAACGCGAAGAACCUUACCUGGUCUUGACAUCCACAGAACUUUCCAGAGAUGGAUUGGUGCCUUCGGGAACUGUGAGACAGGUGCUGCAUGGCUGUCGUCAGCUCGUGUUGUGAAAUGUUGGGUUAAGUCCCGCAACGAGCGCAACCCUUAUCCUUUGUUGCCAGCG
This 1128-nucleotide ribosomal RNA is filed under the name Klebsiella pneumoniae. Its description in RNAcentral is "bacterial SSU rRNA". It matches the Rfam family "Bacterial small subunit ribosomal RNA", at positions 1 to 1123 of the family's 1533-position model. The record is from RNAcentral. Lineage: Bacteria; Pseudomonadati; Pseudomonadota; Gammaproteobacteria; Enterobacterales; Enterobacteriaceae.